RNAcentral lists this ribosomal RNA (116 nucleotides) under Acanthosepion pharaonis. Lineage: Eukaryota; Metazoa; Mollusca; Cephalopoda; Sepiida; Sepiidae. The record is from RNAcentral.
UACGGUCAUCACAUCACGUUGAAACGCCGAUUCUCGUACGAUCACCAAAGUUAAGCAACGUCGAGCCUGGUUAGUACCUCAAUAGGUGACCGCUUGGGAAUACCAAGUGCUGUAAG